This is a long non-coding RNA of Pieris brassicae (large cabbage white), 1194 nucleotides long. RefSeq lists it as uncharacterized. The record is from RefSeq and is a predicted model, not a curated record. The transcript is spliced from 4 exons. Lineage: Eukaryota; Metazoa; Arthropoda; Insecta; Lepidoptera; Pieridae.
UUACGUUUGAUACUGUUUUGUUAUUAAGUUUGUUCGAUGCGUUCAUUGUUAAGUUUUCUUGUUAAACUAGUUGUUUCUUAUUUUUGUUUGGUUAUGGCGAUGGAUGGGAAGAAACCUCGCAAUAUAAAGAAAUAUUGCCUCCUUGGAUGUCCAGAUUUAGGUUUUGUUGCAUCAGCUGGCACUUCAGUAGUGCUGGAACAUAAUUAAUGCGUACCACGCAUGAAUGAAGCCCCAGUGACCUUAACAGAUUCAAAUUCAUCAAAAAUUAUUCCUGAUGAAGGUGAGAGCAUUUCUCUUUUUGCUAAGGGUUUGGACACUCAGACUUCUUCAUCAAAAGAAAAUAAGGAUCAAGACAAAUGAAGCUAAAGUGAAGAGUACACAGAGACAAGUGAGGGCAUUAAAAGCUAAAUUACAGAAAACAAAAAAACUACAGCUAAAGUAUAAAGAUAGAGUGGAAAGGGCAAAAAAAGUAAUCUCUAAUACCGGAUUAUUAGAAAUGUGAAUGUUCAGUAGAGGGUGGUCGAAGUCAGAAUGAAUAUGUCUGUGGCUGGGUCCUAAAAAAGUGUAUGUAAAAGUUGUAAGAGGAUGCAAAAAAUGUAAAGAAAUAAUAUUAUCACGUGAGAUGAAUCAAAUAGGUACCUAAAUACAAGCCAAAGAAUAUUACAAGACUACGAGAGCACUUUGCUACCCCUCCAACAGUGUAGUAAAGUGUUUCGAAGAGAUACAAAAUAUAACCCAAAAAUUUCUUCAAAACAAUUUAAAGAAUUGUAAAAUCAGAGAACAAAACAAAUUGUUUUACCCAACAUACUAUUAAUAUUUUAAUAUUCAGUUGGUGCAAAUCAAUUAAAUAACAUACCAUGAUGAUAAUGACAAUGUAAAAUUAAAAGCCCAGGCUUAUUUUACUAGCCAUAAGCACAAAAAAUAAAAAUAUGAUGCGUAAAUAGUGUUUUAUUUUGAAAAUAUGAGGUUCAACGUAGGUAGAGAAUACAGCCGUAUUGGCUUUCUGCUAGGUGAAUCUAGAAGUUACUUAUGCGAGUUGCAACAUCUAACUUUAACGAUAACUUCGUGUUGCUGGCUAUUUUUGUUAAAAUAGGAACAACAGACAAAUAUCGAUAUCGUUAAAAUUAGAUGGUGAAACUCGCCAAAGUAACUUCUCUCUUUAAUAUUAUAAGAUCUCUAUUAAAUUCAAACCGU